RNAcentral lists this long non-coding RNA (2868 nucleotides) under Sus scrofa (pig). RNAcentral's name for it is "lncRNA (ENSSSCG00035052416.1)". The record is from RNAcentral. Lineage: Eukaryota; Metazoa; Chordata; Mammalia; Artiodactyla; Suidae.
GAGUGGCCCAAGAAAUGGCAAAAAGACAAAAAGAAAAAAAAAAAAAGAAUUGUGGCCAGAGAGUUCCUGUUGUGUCUCAGUCAGUUAAAAACCCGACAUGGUAUCUGUGAGGAUACAGGCUUGAUCCCUGGCCCCACUCAGUGGGUUAAGGAUCCUGCGUUGCCACAAAUUGCAGUGCAGGUCCCAGAUGCGGUUCAGAUUCUGCAUUGCUGUUGCUUUAGCUGUGGCUGUGGUGUAGGCCAGCAGCUAUAGCUCCGAUUCAACCCCUAGCCUGGGAACUACCAUAUGCUGGACGUGUGGCCCUAAAAAAACCCAGAAAGAAUCAUGGCCAGAAGACAGCUGUGGGGAACGCGCCAUGGCUCAGAUGCCAAGCUAGGAACUUUCUGUUAGUUUCCAUGGUGCUUUUUUCUUUUUUUUUUUUUUUUUUUUUUUUUUUUUUUUUGUCUUUUUGCUAUUUCUUGGGGCGCUCCCGCGGCAUAUGGAUUUCCCAGGCUAGGGGUCUAAUCAGAGCUAUAGCUCUGGCCUACGCCACAGCCACAGCAACGUUGGAUCCGAGCCGCAUCUGUGACCUACACCAUAGCUCAUGGCAACACCAGAUCCUUAACCCACUCAGUGAGGCCAGGGAUCGAACCCACAUCCUCAUGGAUGCUACAGUCAGGACAGCUAACUGCUGAGCCAUGAUGGGAAUUCUAUCCAUACACAAAAUGUGGCCCUGCAAUGACAGGGGCUCCUGGCAAUGGUGACCACCCUCCGAGGAGGGAUCCCUAGGCCCCAGAAUGGGCUCUCCUGCUGCCCUGACGGGAGGGGUAAAUUGAAGACUACCCACAUCCCUCCGAAGCCCUCUGUUCAAGGAACAGACAAGGACCAGGCGGGCCUUCCAGGGAGGCCCUGAGAGCGGAAACCUAGCUUCCCUGGCUUAGCCUAAGGCACUGCUUCUGGAAGGCUGCCAUUCAGGCAACCAAAGCUGAUGUGACAUUUGUUUAAUUUGCAGAAAAACUCUUUACUUUUUUUUUUUUAAAAGGCAGAGGGAGAGAAAAGCCACCCUCAUAAAACCUUUUACUCUCUUACUCUAAUGGGACACAUAAAGGCUGACGAUGCAGGAAGUCGGCUGCACUGAGAAGCCCGCAGGCUGCGAGGGGAGGGUGCCCGGCGCACAGGGGUGACAAGGGCGGCCUCCGGAUGCUCUUCCUCUGGAGGCAGAUGAUUCAGCCUUCAGUGGUGCAGCCUUCGGGCCCCCACGCUGGGGUCUCCCUUCCCCCUUUCUCCUCACACCUUGACAACUGGAGCAACCAGUUCACUUCCACCUGAACCAGAGCUGCCAGCCCCCAUCCCCGUCCUGGAACCUUCGGCCAGGGAGCAUCAGCCAUGGCAGCGUGGUCAAGGGACGAGCUCCCUUCUGGAGCUUGUCUUCUGUGCCAGGCGCUGUGCUAGGUGCUCAAGCCAAUGCAGGAAAGAAUAAGACCAAGACCAGCCAAUAAUAUUAACCAGUCCUGGCUGCAAAAGGCCCUUUGCCUCUCAUGUUCAGGUCCCAGGCUUUGGGGCCUGGCUAUGAAGGAUUUGCUCCUGGAGUGACUCAGCUGACAAAACUGAGCUGGAGAAAAGCUCACAGGGGCUGACACCUCCUACAGCCCUGCCCUCUCCCUGUAGGAAGGUUUCAGGGAAACCUUAAACAGAGGCCUGAGGGCCUAAUAGAACCCAAGGCAGGCUGCCUUGAAACUGGUUUCCACAAACCUCUGAUUAUAGCAGUUUCUACUCAGAAAACAGGUCACCGUGGCCUUGGAAGCACAGGAGAAAGGCUGCAGGGCUGGGCAGAUAAAAUCUGAGAUGAAGCGGUCAAGGUAUAUAGAGACUCAAUCCCUGCAUGGAUUCUUCUGAACCUCUCCCUCCUUCAAAGAGCCUAAAAUUCUCUGGUCUGCAUUUCCCAGAUCUUGGAGGGGAACCACGUAAAGUUCAGAGGAGAAAGGAGAGCAUGCUGUGAGCCCUAGAGAAGGGAGGAGGCAGGGGGUACAGAGCUGCCCUCCCCCUCCCCCUCUUCCUCCUGCAGCUACAAGCCAUGGAGCAGGCACGGACCCCACCACCAAGUCCACACAUGCACUUCCAGGCAAUUUGAACCAUCUGGGGCAGAGGAAUCAAAAUAAUGAACGAUAAUGACUGGUCAUGAGAACGUGGAUAAAUUACAAAAGGGAGGUUUUGCUUUCUCAUUCUCUGCAUGGUAAAAAGCACACAACAACCAAAUGAAACAUCUGUGUGGAAAGAGCCUUGGUGACAUCCUGUCCAGAUGGAGAGGAUCAGUAAGUCCCUUCUCCAACCUUUAGUGGACAGGAGCAGGAAUGGCUAAGCAGGCUGUUGAGAACACCACCCUUGGCAGAAAAUUGCAAAACCACUGCAAAAGCUUGCCAGCUCCGGAUGCGGCCCAUCGCCAUGGUGCUUCCCAGCCCCUCCCAGAGUCUACACUCCAGCCCUUGAAUCUGGCCUUGGACAUGUGGCUUCCUUGGCCAAGUGGACAUGAGCAGACAUGAAGUAAUAACAGAGGCUCUAAAGGUGCUUGUACAUUGGAGCCUCCCCCUCUUCUGCUGCAAGGAACCUUCCACCUCCACAUGAACAAGUAUGGACAGAGUUAAAACCAGCAAAGUUAUUUUCUUUCUUUCUUUUUUGCUUUUUAGGGCCAUACCCACAGCAUAUGGAAGUUCCAGGCUAGGGGGCGAAUCGGAGUUGCAGCUGCCAGCCACAGCCUGGAUCUGAGCCAUGUCUGCAACCUACACCACAGCUUGUGGCAAUGCCGGGUCCUUAACCCACUAAGCGGGGCCAGGGAUCGAACCCGCAUCCUCACGGGUACUAGUCGGGUUCAUAACCCACUGAGCCACAGUG